This 586-nucleotide ribosomal RNA is filed under the name uncultured bacterium. Its description in RNAcentral is "bacterial SSU rRNA". It matches the Rfam family "Bacterial small subunit ribosomal RNA", at positions 340 to 916 of the family's 1533-position model. The record is from RNAcentral.
UACGGGAGGCAGCAGUGGGGAAUCUUCCGCAAUGGACGAAAGUCUGACGGAGCAACGCCGCGUGAGUGACGAAGGUUUUCGGAUUGUAAAACUCUGUCUUUUGGGAAGAAAGGCUUCUAUGUAAAUAAUGUAGGAGAUUGACGGUACCAAAGGAGGAAGCCCCGGCUAACUACGUGCCAGCAGCCGCGGUAAUACGUAGGGGGCAAGCGUUGUCCGGAAUUAUUGGGCGUAAAGAGCGCGCAGGCGGUCCGUUAAGUCCACCGUGAAAGCUUACGGCUCAACCGUAACAGGUCGGUGGAUACUGACAGACUUGAGGGCAGGAGAGGAAAGUGGAAUUCCCAGUGUAGCGGUGAAAUGCGUAGAUAUUGGGAGGAACACCAGUGGCGAAGGCGACUUUCUGGACUGUUACUGACGCUGAGGCGCGAAAGCUGGGGGAGUGAACGGGAUUAGAUACCCCGGUAAUCCCAGCCGUAAACGAUGGGUACUAGGUGUAGGAGGUAUCGACCCCUCCUGUGCCGGAGUUAACGCAAUAAGUACCCCGCCUGGGGAGUACGGUCGCAAGACUGAAACUCAAAGGAAUUGACGG